UAUCGAAUAAAAUUUAAUAUUCAAGGUAUUGCAAUAUAUUUAAGCAGUGGAAAAGAAAAAUAAUGUAAUUAAUUUAGUUCAUUUACAGUAGUUGUCAUGGAGGUUCCACCUUUGCAUCUGCGACCUGCCUCCCUAAAGCUAUUAUUGCUAUAGGCCGAGCAUAGGUCCUCUUACAUAUGGGAGGGGAAGUUAUUGGCCCAGACUAUACGUUCUAGGAGAAUAGACGAUAUGUGGGACUUUCUUAAGGAUCGCCAGCUCCAUCCUCGUAUAGUCAGACGCCUGCAGGAUAUGGGUUUUAUAGGAUUAUUGAGAUCGGCUGGCUGCAACUAGAUUGGUCGUUGAUCACGACUUUGACAGAGCGGUAGCGACCAAAGAUGCACACAUUCCAUUUGCCCAUUGGCGAGGCCACUAUCACGCUGCAGAAUGUGGAGGUUCUGUAUGGAUUGCCGGUUGAUGGACUUCUUGUUGCUUUGGUGCAAGGCAUGAGAGAUUAUACGGGAGAUCAGUACCUGGAGACAUUGCAGCGGCUCACCGAUUUCCGACCAAAGGAUGAGGGUGUAUUGGUUGGGGCUAGUCGUCUUGCAUUUGGAGGCCAUGUUGAUUGAGGCUAGUCGUCUUGCAUUUGGAGGUCAUGCAUGAUGACAUUACUCAUGAUACACCGGAUGUUCAUAUUAACCGAUACACGAGGUCGUUAUUGUUGCUUAUGUUUGAAGGCGUAUUGUUCCCGAGCACUUCAGGAAACUUAGUCAGCUUGAGAUUUCUUCAUCAUCUUGAGCGGCUAGUUGAUUUACAUCAGUACAACUGGGGGCUGCUGUUCUUGGUUACUUGUACCGGCAGAUGUGCCAGGCAUGCAUGGGCAUCCAGUGAGACGUUGCAAGAUUUAUGCCGCUACUGCAGGUUUGGGCCUAGAAGCGGUUCUUGCAGUUUCAACCACGUCUACCACCAAUUGCCCAGGAUGCACUACCUCCGUCGUUUCUCCCUUUGGCUAGGUGGUGGGUUGAUAGGCAGGGAUACGGACGUGAGUACGAGGCUCGACAUAAUCUCCCCUAUUGUAGAGAUUUGUUGGAUUUGCUGGAAGAUGCGCAAAUAAUUCUAUACUUAAGUUUACUUGGCCUGGAUUUAUAUGUGUUGCGUGUACUCAUGGUUCCUAUUUUUACGUAAUAGUUCAUUUAGAGUCCAUACAGUGACGAGCUAAUUACGGGUUUACCCAAUUAUUGCUCGACCGGGCGACUUAUCUGGAUCGCUUCCGAUAUUGUUGAGCAUCAUGCCACCGAGCAAGUCCUUCGCCAGUUUGGUCGACCGCAGCUUGUACCUCCACCGCCCGCUUGGGUUAGGACACAUUACCAGCGGGAUGAUCGUUUGAGAGCUGACUAGGCAUAAGAGGCAUAACUAAAGGAGCAGAUCGAGACUUGGUACCAGCGGCGUGACCUGAUUCUGUCACCCCCUCCACCCGAUCUUAUGGAUGGUGAGCAUGCGUAUAUGGGCUGGUACCGCAACAUUACCCGGUUUAUCAUCGGGAAUCCCAUUCAUCACGUUGGCAGUCGGUUCAUUCCAUACGCCGAAAGGCAUGAGGCGCUGGUAUGUUAUUUGGUAUACUUAGUUAUAAUGUUAACAUUACUGUUUCACAAUUAAUAUUUUAUAUGUUGUGUAAGUUAUUGGACUACAUAUAUUCCACAAGUUGGGACUGCAGAUGCAGCAACAUACCGGCGAGGGAGCGACCGCUUUGCACGACUAUGGCCAGUAGGUUACAGAUUUGGCUGCCUAGACAUUGCAGCGAGCCCGUGAUAAUGAGCGCUUAGGACACGAGGCUGAUUAUAUGGCGCCAGAGCAGUACCAUCGUGGGCCAGCAAUGCAGCCUGAAUGUGAUCGACGUGGUAAAGGUGCGCCGCGAGGCGGGGGUGUGCCAUGAGGUAGGGGUGUCCCGCGAGGUAGGGUGUCCCACGAGGUCAUGGGGUCCGCGAGGAGGUGUUCCCCAGCAAGGAGGCGUUGAGGCACCUGUUGAGGAUGUUGGAGUUGAUCAGCCGUGUGACCAUCCUGAUCCUAGUGAUAUCCCGUCAUUUAGUCCGGGGCUUACUCUAGGGACUUCGCAGGUGACCCCAUCAGCUCCAUUGUCAAUUGCGGGCACGGCCUUUACCUCACAUUAUUUGUCCAGUACGAAAUGUAGAUAUUGGACGCCGACUUAGUUAUGGCUCACCAUUGAGGGAUGCUGAGGAUCUUCCACAGGAUUUGCCAUCAUCCUCGCCCAUCGCGGAGGCCACUAGGUGCGUCACUCACAUGCCUGAGACGGAUGAGUAUAUUUAGGAGCCCACUGUGACCAUGGUCACUACUGCACCGACGACCCCUUCUACCGACAUGCUAGCCUUACUGACGAUCAUGUUGUAGCUCAUCCUCCGAUAAAGAGGCGUCAUGAUAAGGAUGAUCCUGAUAGUGUAGUUAGGCGGCAUGGGAUGCGCCUGAGGCCAGUGGCUGGUUUAAAGCAUAAAGGUUGUGGGACACAUUGAUUUUUUGAUUUUAUGUACAUAUGACAAUCAGUAAAUAAUAACAACUUUAUCUAUGGUUUAGCAUUA
This is a non-coding RNA of Nicotiana tabacum (common tobacco), 2567 nucleotides long. The record is from RefSeq and is a predicted model, not a curated record. NCBI's taxonomy places the organism in Eukaryota, Viridiplantae, Streptophyta, Magnoliopsida, Solanales, Solanaceae.